AGGAGGCAGCAGUAAGGAAUAUUGGUCAAUGGGCGAGAGCCUGAACCAGCCAUCCCGCGUGCAGGAAGAAGGCCCUAUGGGUUGUAAACUGCUUUUGUGCAAGAAGAAAGGUAUCCUCGAGCAGGGUAUUUGACGGUAUUGCGUGAAUAAGCACCGGCUAACUCCGUGCCAGCAGCCGCGGUAAUACGGAGGGUGCAAGCGUUAUCCGGAUUUAUUGGGUUUAAAGGGUGCGUAGGCGGUAUAUUAAGUCAGUGGUGAAAUCCUGCAGCUUAACUGUAGAUGUGCCAUUGAAACUGAUGUACUUGAGUUAUCUUGAGGUAGGCGGAAUGUGUAGUGUAGCGGUGAAAUGCUUAGAUAUUACACAGAACACCGAUUGCGAAGGCAGCUUACUAAGGGUAUACUGACGCUGAGGCACGAAAGCGUGGGGAUCGAACAGGAUUAGAUACCCCGGUAGG
Molecule: ribosomal RNA, 455 nt
Filed under: uncultured bacterium
Lineage: Bacteria
Description: bacterial SSU rRNA
Rfam family: Bacterial small subunit ribosomal RNA
Source: RNAcentral